AGGACGAACGCUGGCGGCGUGCCUAACACAUGCAAGUGGAGCGACGAACCAGGCUUCGGCCUGGGGCAAAGCCGCGAACGGGUGAGUAACACGUGACUAACCUACCUUCGAGUGGGGGGAUAACCUCGGGAAACCGAGGCUAAUACCGCAUAACAUCGCAAGAUCAAAGCAGCAAUGCGCUGGAAGAGGGGGUCGCGGCUGAUUAGCUAGUUGGCGGGGUAACGGCCCACCAAGGCGAAGAUCGGUAGCCGGCCUGAGAGGGCGCACGGCCACACUGGAACUGAAACACGGUCCAGACUCCUACGGGAGGCAGCAGUGGGGAAUUUUGCGCAAUGGGGGAAACCCUGACGCAGCAACGCCGCGUGGAGGAUGAAGCCCUUGGGGCGUAAACUCCUUUCGACCAAGACGAUAAUGACGGUACUGGUGGAAGAAGCACCGGCUAACUCUGUGCCAGCAGCCGC
Molecule: ribosomal RNA, 461 nt
Filed under: uncultured bacterium
Lineage: Bacteria
Description: SSU rRNA
Rfam family: Bacterial small subunit ribosomal RNA
Source: RNAcentral